CCAAAGACAUAAUGUUUUGGUCCUAAACUUGCUAUUAUUUUUUACUAGGCCUACACAUGCAAGCAUCCACGUGCCAGUGAAAAUGCCCAUUAACAGAAUGGAGCUGGUAUCAGGCACAACUAACUCUAGCCAAUGACACCUUGCUAAGCCACGCCCCCACGGGUCUACAGCAGUGAUUAAUAUUAAAAAUAAGCGAAAGCUUGAUUUAGCCAUAGUGAUAAAGAGUCGGUAAAUUUCGUGCCAGCCACCGCGGUUAUACGAAAGACCCAAAAUAAUAGCCACCGGCGUAAAGCGUAGCUAGAAUCUACUAUAACUAAGGACAAACACCUUCUCCGCUGUAAAACGCUUAAGAAGACAAGAAUAUCUCAACCUUAUUAAACCAUUUGACACUACGAAAGCUGAGGCACAAACUGGGAUUAGAUACCCCACUAUGCUCAGCCCUAAACUUAGAUAGCAAAAUACUACCUAUCCGCCAGAGAACUACAAGCAAAAUACUUAAAACUCAAAGGACUUGGCGGCAUUCCAUAUCAACCUAGAGGAGCCCGUCCAAUAAUCGAUAAUACGCGCUCAACCCAACCAUUUUUGGCCACUCCAGCCUAUAUACCGCCGUCGUCAGCUAACCUUGUGAAAGAAAAGUAGUAAGCACAACAGCCCUCGCAAAAACGUCAGGUCAAGGUGUAGCUAAUAAAAUGGUAUGCGAUAGGCUACAUUUUCUAUUAUAGAAAAAACGGAAAAUACAAUGAAACCUUGUAAUAGAAGGAGAAUUUAGAAGUAAACUAAGAAAGGACCCUUAUUUUAACACCGCCCUGGAAUGCGCACACACCGCCCGUCACCCUCCUCGAUAAACCAGAUGAGGCAAG
Molecule: non-coding RNA, 860 nt
Filed under: Cordylus cordylus (Cape girdled lizard)
Lineage: Eukaryota; Metazoa; Chordata; Lepidosauria; Squamata; Cordylidae
Description: partial 12S ribosomal RNA
Rfam family: Bacterial small subunit ribosomal RNA
Source: RNAcentral